RNAcentral lists this transfer RNA (74 nucleotides) under Candidatus Bathyarchaeota archaeon. RNAcentral describes it as "tRNA-Phe". It matches the Rfam family "tRNA". Rfam says of the family: Transfer RNA (tRNA) molecules are approximately 80 nucleotides in length. Their secondary structure includes four short double-helical elements and three loops (D, anti-codon, and T loops). The record is from RNAcentral. Lineage: Archaea; Thermoproteati; Candidatus Bathyarchaeota.
GCCGCGGUAGCUCAGUCCGGGAGAGCGUCCGGCUGAAGACCGGAUUGUCGGGAGUUCAAAUCUCCCCCGCGGCA